UCUCUUUAUAUAUUGAGUUUUUAUUUUGCAGAAUGUUUUAUAUCUUUCCUUUAUCCCAUUUAGAAGAAAAUGUGAAACAUUUCCCAUGACAUCAUUCCUUUGUGAAUGGAUACAGACUAUUUUAUUCUACUGAGCAGUUAUUCAUUUUGGUCUUUUAAAUUUUCUACUGGUGGAUAUUUACAUCUGAGAAAGAGAUUUCCAGUUGUCCCCAGGAACUGUUCUGCCACUAACCUACAGGAAUGAGUUUUAUGUGCAUAUUCUCAAGACUUGACCCCUUGACCGUGACUUGAUGGUCAUGACUGAAAGUCCUGAUAUUAUAUACUGUCUUUUGAUCACUUAAGAAAUUUGACUCAGGAGGUAAGCCUUGGCCUGUCAACUAUAAAGACUACAUUUCACAACGUUUUUGUAGCUGAGAGUUUGUAAAUGUAGCUAAGGGUUUGAAUAAAUUUGGGCUAAAGGAACAGAAGUAAAUUGUGUGAUUCCUGGUCCAACUACUUUCAGAUAAGGUCCCAUAUUGAUAUCAACCAGCAGUAUCAGCUUCAUUUCAUCCAUAAUGAUUUCACUUUUCUCCUCUACUAGGCCUCUGGUCUGAAAAGUUGAUUCUUCAUUCCAUUCUGCAGACAAUUUAUAGAGCAAUCUCGUCCCCAUUUUUUUCCAUGCUGUGACAUAUCAUACUUGAAGGUGUUUCCUGCUUUCAAAAUUGCACAGGAGAAAAGUAAUAUUCUCUAUGUGGAGACCUUCACUUUCAGAAAUGACCCCUUUCUGUUUCUUAAUGUUUUGUCCUCUCUAUGAUUUGAUGGUCUGAAGGACAAAGAUGCUACCCUGCUCCCACUCAUGCUUCUAAAACUAUCUGUUCUCUCACCUUGGAGCUUGAUAAUAACACAUUUAUAUGGCUGGUGGAAAGAGAACAGAAGGAGGACAGAGACAUCAGUUCGUUAGAGUUACAUAUGUUCCCUCAUUUUUAAAAAUUCACAUUUCAUGAAGUGUCAUUGACCUAGCAUUUCAGAGUCCCACUUUUUUUUUUUUCUCCCAGAAGUCCAUAUAUGGAGUGAUUUUGAGGGAGUAAAAAUGUUUUUUAAUUUCUCAAAUUGUUAGACUUCCACAGAUUAUUUCAUUAUGCCACUGAGAAACAACGGGA
RNAcentral lists this long non-coding RNA (1138 nucleotides) under Papio anubis (olive baboon). RNAcentral describes it as "lncRNA (ENSPANG00000039919.1)". The record is from RNAcentral. Lineage: Eukaryota; Metazoa; Chordata; Mammalia; Primates; Cercopithecidae.